Molecule: ribosomal RNA, 253 nt
Filed under: uncultured bacterium
Lineage: Bacteria
Also listed under: 1 other name
Description: partial 16S ribosomal RNA
Rfam family: Bacterial small subunit ribosomal RNA
Source: RNAcentral
UACGGAGGGUCCAAGCGUUAUCCGGAAUCAUUGGGUUUAAAGGGUCCGUAGGCGGUUUAAUAAGUCAGUGGUGAAAGCCCAUCGCUCAACGAUGGAACGGCCAUUGAUACUGUUAAACUUGAAUUAUUAGGAAGUAACUAGAAUAUGUAGUGUAGCGGUGAAAUGCUUAGAGAUUACAUGGAAUACCAAUUGCGAAGGCAGGUUACUACUAAUAUAUUGACGCUGAUGGACGAAAGCGUGGGGAGCGAACAGG